Long non-coding RNA from Taeniopygia guttata (zebra finch), 3690 nucleotides. The record is from Ensembl. Lineage: Eukaryota; Metazoa; Chordata; Aves; Passeriformes; Estrildidae.
UUUUUUUUUUUUUUUUUUUUUUUUUUGAGAAAGUAGCAGCAGUGAGAAAAAAGUACAUAGUAAUUUAACUUCAGGCGUGUGACCUUUCUUUUUCUAAGACAUAUCAGGGAAAGUAUUUCCAGGGAUGGUAUAUGUAUAGCUUCAAGUGAAUGUCUUGGUAUGUAUUAAAGGAUAUAAACUUGUACAGAGCAGAAGAAAUUCUGUUCAGCUCAGUCAGCCAAAAUACAACAGACUGAACAGGAAAGCACUAAUAUUUUUUAGAUGCGUAAUGUUCUUACAAAUGGCCCAUGCUGUGCUAAUAAAACUAUUGUGACUAGGAGCUUUUGCAGUGAGAACUGACAGAUGAAGCAGAGUUAAGUACUUUUUCAGACAAGCUACUACAGUAAAUCAUUAAAGCGCACAAACAAUCAUCCUUCAUCAGCCUGGGAUUUGUUUUAUAGCAAUUGCAAAUCGAAAACAAUGUAAACAAACAAAUCGACAACUAAUGAACAUUCCCCCACUGCUCACUGUAAAUAGAUCUACAACUUUAGAAGAACACUUUAUCCAACACAUUGUCAACUCAUUGUAAACACAUCUACAACUCAUAAACAACUCAUUACCCAGUAUGUUGUCACCUCAUUGCAAUUAAAGUUGAAUGCUAACUGUACUGCAGUUCCUCAAACUGAAUCAAAUCAGAAGCAUGGAAGAAAAUAUCUAGAUGUAUUAGUCCAAUAAGUUUCAGGACUUUUACGAAAAUCUUCACUGUGUAAUUGGAGUUUCUUUUGCAGUUCUUAAUGCAAAAAUUGAACAAAAUUGCAUCACUUCCUAUUCCAGCUUAAAUGUAGAUUUAUUCAAUCAGACUUCCAAUUUACAUAUAACAUUUUCUAUGGAAAUUUUUUAAAUGAGAAAAUUAUUCCCUGAAAGGUUGUAAAACUCACAAGUUUCUUUGGAAUUGUUCUGCAUGAACUAUAUUUUACAGUCUUAUUUAUUUAUUUAUUUAUUCAUUCAUUAUUUACUGGCUUACUUUCGACACCACUAGAAAUUUCUACCUUCUUUUUAAAGCAUGAUAGGUAUCAGCUGGAUGUGAUUGCUAAUACCACUUCAAUACCACUUAAAAUAUUUUUGCUAUUGAAAAAUCAUUUAUUUUGAAGAAAACAUAACUAAGAAGUUUUAUGUGUGGUGAACAUAAAUCGGAAGAUGAAGACAUCUGGGUUUAAGAGCAAACUUCACAUACAUUAGACUGCUGGCUGGGGCACAGCUUAUGAGAACUGGAAGUAUCUUAAAUUGCUUCCACAAACUCUUCUUCUGGUCCCCAUGUACACAAUCUGCUGCUGCUUUACAAAGAUGUCCUCUGGGAAAAGGGUUGUCUUUUUUAUCCAUAUUUACAUAGUGCUUAGUAUAAAACAAUCUAAUGCCUUACAAGGUCACAGUGCUAUAGAUAUUAAAGAACACAUGUAGUAGACACAUGCAUUUAGUAAUGAAUCACUACAUAAUUACAAUCAUAUUUUAAGAAUAAUUCAGUUUCUCAUACAAAAGAUUUCUACCAAGCUUCUCAAUUUGUUUUAGAAUUACUGCUUUUUGGUUACAUGAUAGACUUUGAUGCUAAGAUUGAAAAGACUGGCUUACAGAGAUGUUGCACUCAGGAUCACAAACAUGAUCUUCUCCAUCAUUCCACAAAUAGGAGAUUUUAAAUGUCAUUUUGCAGAACGGAUAUUAUCACUAUCUUCUAUGUUACACUGCUCUAGAGCUCUCUUAUAUGUAUUGGUCUCACAUGUCACGUUGGUGUCCAGGUAUCUUGAAGUACAUACAUUGUUCAAUGCGUGUAGUGGGCCAGAGACAAAUCAAACUGGCUUAAGAAGAAAAGACACUUCACAUACAGAAUAUGGUAUUUCUCUCUGUCCUUUCUUCAGCACCUAUGUAGACAGUGGCUUCAGCCAGUUUUGGAGAUAUCCACAACCCCUGUCUUUUUGCAGAAGGGAAAACAUCAGCAGUUGCAAUGGGCACCAAUAACAUCUGCUUAUAGCAACACAGGCAUUUGUCUCACAGUUUUUAAUGUUGAGAUUUUCUGCUUGAAAUGUUACUUUUAUUUGACAAUAUGCUUUCCAAAUGAUCUCUUCAAAGGUCCUCGCUUUUGGGGAAAGAGGUAAAAGCAUUUUAUAUGUUUAAGUUUUGAUUACCUUUCUCCUCCAUUGGCCUUAGCAAGUAAAUGCCAUGGUGAUGUGAUAGAGCUAUGGUGAGAGAAAAUUAUACAGCUAUGCUGAGAGAAAGGAAUCAGUAUUUAAUCAUUAUAUUUCUAAGAGCUCUCGCUGAUUAGAAAGCAGUCCUACAAUUAGGAAAGUUUGAAAGGACUCAAAGUUUGAGUGUUUCACUUCCUAAGUGAGAUAGGAAGUAAAAUUCUAGGAAGUUAAUGAUAAUUUUGAAUGGUCAAUGAAUUAUUUAUUACCUAUAUUUAUUACAAAUAUGAACUUACUUUUCAACAAAGUGAGUCCAUUGUGGAAUUUUUCGGUUAGACAAUGAGAACUGUAAAGACCUUUUUCAUACCUUUUUGAUUUUUUCUCCGCUCAUAUGUGAACUAUGCAAAUGUAAACAUGUAACUUUUUCUCCCUAAUCAGGCCUCAUGAGUAGUCCUUAUGAACUCGGAAAGUUAUUUCUUAAAUAUAAAUACUUAAACUGAUUAAAUGUGCAACUGAAAAACAAAGAGGAAAAUGCCAAAGAGUCCAAUAACUAUUUGCAUUUGAAUUUGCUAAGAUGCUGUGUCUCAUGUUGGUGUAUCAUUAAGCUAAAUCCAAUGGUUAUGAGACAGAAACCUGUCUUUUAGGACAUAAUCUCUUUUAAAAUGGAAAAAAUGGAAAGUUUAUUUUGCAAUUCCCUAUUUCUUAAAUAUAUAUAUAUCAUAAAACAUUGAAACAGUAUCUAAGAGUGUAAUGUUGUCUCCAAGACAUAUGCCCAAGAACAGGUCAUAUUUCUGUUUAAAAGUUUUAAUUUAACUCACUGAUCAGUUAUGGUGUAGAUGAGGGAAUUCCCCAACUGUUUUUUAUAGAACAUAAGACUAGAUUUUUUACAGUGGUUAAUUCUGACCCUGAUUGAUAUUAGGUCAUAUUGUGCCUAGAAAACAGCAAGAAACUUAGAGUCAAAUAAAUGAAAGAGCCUGGGAAAAAAAAAAUUAAAAAAAAGAAAGAGUUGUUUAACUAUAUUGAACCAAGAAAAUACUUCAUAAAUGAAGAGUUUUCUUUUAAGAGUCAUAAUUUAAUCAGUAUAACUUUUCAUUUAUUCUUAUGUUUGCUUAUGUGUCAUAUAUUAUGUGCAGAUAUUCUGUGCUACUGAAAAUUAUUCCCACCAAAAUGUUGUAAUGUACCUUUUGUUCUACAUCUUAAAAUAGACUAACAGAGGAGAGGAAAGAAACCAGAAUUAUAAUGCGCCUUUGUAAAUGUAAAAAGCUUAAUAAAUCACAGAAGUGAAUUUCUUAUUCUUCUCAGAGAGGAAUUAAAUUUUCACAUAACUGUUUUUUUAUGACUCUAUUUUCUUUUCUCUUUAGGGCUGAGCAACCCACUGGAAGGAAACCAGUAACUUAUUUUAAAAUUGUACAAGUCUCCAAAUACAUUUUUGAUUUUACUUUGUGACUUCUAGAUCCUGAAAAAAAAAACCUUGUUCUUUUUUUGGUUUUUUUUUAAGACUGAUUAUGGGCAUUUUUUGGAAAAAUUGAGAAACAUA